UGAAUCCCAGGUAAGUGGGACCAUAUAAACAGCCCCUAAAAAUUGCCCCACACAAGAGAAACUUGCUGAGCUAAUCGCCUUGCCUGGUGGCUAGCUCAGCUAUGCAUUUUCACCGCCCACAUUGGGAAAACUACUCGACUGUUGAUAACAUGUUUGCAUUUCCCUCUAUUGUCACCAUUUUGACCAAACACAAUAGAUAUUUUCCUCAAGAGGUUAAUUCCUCACGAAAGCUGUCCGCACAUGCAAGAAAACGAAAAC
This is a non-coding RNA of Paramuricea clavata, 258 nucleotides long. NCBI's taxonomy places the organism in Eukaryota, Metazoa, Cnidaria, Anthozoa, Malacalcyonacea, Plexauridae. The record is from the annotation of a GenBank genome assembly.